CACCAGGUUGAUUCUGCCUGACGUGGACGCUAGCUUCAAGGAUUAAGCCAUGCAAGCUAGCGAAGGUAACGGAGCGGCGAACGGCUCAGUAAGACAGGCGGAUCUGACCACUAAGAAGGAUAACCACGGGAAACUGUGGCUAAUACUAUUGAGGGUGAAAGCCUGGCCUAUCAGCUUGUCGGUACGGUAAGUGCGUACCGAGGCGACGACGGGUAACGGGGAAUCGGGGUUUGAUUCCGGAGAGGGAGCCUGAGAGAUGGCUGCCACGUCCAAGGACGGCAGCAGGCGCGAAACUUACCCAUUUGGAGGACCAGAGGUAGUGACGAGGCGUGUAUAUGAGAACACGGUAAAGAAGUGAUCGAAAGCAACUGGAGGGCAAGUCUGGUGCCAACAGCCGCGGUAAUUCCAGCUCCAGGAGCGUCUGUGUGUAUUGCUGCGGUUAAAACGUGCGUAGUCUGGCUAACAACUAGCAAAAAAAGUGGGGUCUUGAGCCACACAAAAGCAAGUACGGAAGCCUAGAGACUGGGGAGGGAUAAUGUUAUUUGAUAGCGAGGGGUGAAAACCGAUGACCUAUUGAGGAGCGACAGAGGCGUAAGCAGUUAUCCGGAACGGGUCUGACGAUCAAGCGCGUGAGCAGGAGGAUCGAAGGCGAUUAGAGACCGUCGUAGUUCCUGCAGUAAACUAUGCCGACAAGGUUGCAGAGACUGUAGCCUAAGGGAAACUGAGUGUAUGGGCUCCGGGGAUAGUAUUGGCGCA
RNAcentral lists this ribosomal RNA (756 nucleotides) under Microsporidium sp. BLAP2. RNAcentral's name for it is "SSU rRNA". It matches the Rfam family "Microsporidia small subunit ribosomal RNA", at positions 1 to 767 of the family's 1311-position model. The record is from RNAcentral. Lineage: Eukaryota; Fungi; Microsporidia.